RNAcentral lists this ribosomal RNA (492 nucleotides) under uncultured bacterium. RNAcentral describes it as "partial 16S ribosomal RNA". It matches the Rfam family "Bacterial small subunit ribosomal RNA", at positions 29 to 507 of the family's 1533-position model. The record is from RNAcentral.
AGUGAACGCUGGCGGUAGGCCUAACACAUGCAAGUCGAACGGCAGCACAGUAAGAGCUUGCUCUUACGGGUGGCGAGUGGCGGACGGGUGAGGAAUACAUCGGAAUCUACUUUUUCGUGGGGGAUAACGUAGGGAAACUUACGCUAAUACCGCAUACGACCUACGGGUGAAAGCAGGGGAUCUUCGGACCUUGCGCGAUUGAAUGAGCCGAUGUCGGAUUAGCUAGUUGGCGGGGUAAAGGCCCACCAAGGCGACGAUCCGUAGCUGGUCUGAGAGGAUGAUCAGCCACACUGGGACUGAGACACAGUCCAGACUCCUACGGGAGGCAGCAGUGGGGAAUAUUGGACAAUGGGCGCAAGCCUGAUCCAGCCAUACCGCGUGGGUGAAGAAGGCCUUCGGGUUGUAAAGCCCUUUUGUUGGGAAAGAAAAGCAGCAGGUUAAUACCCCGCUGUUCUGACGGUACCCAAAGAAUAAGCACCGGCUAACUUCGUG